AGUGAACGCUGGCGGUAGGCCUAACACAUGCAAGUCGAACGGCAGCACAGUAAGAGCUUGCUCUUACGGGUGGCGAGUGGCGGACGGGUGAGGAAUACAUCGGAAUCUACUUUUUCGUGGGGGAUAACGUAGGGAAACUUACGCUAAUACCGCAUACGACCUACGGGUGAAAGCAGGGGAUCUUCGGACCUUGCGCGAUUGAAUGAGCCGAUGUCGGAUUAGCUAGUUGGCGGGGUAAAGGCCCACCAAGGCGACGAUCCGUAGCUGGUCUGAGAGGAUGAUCAGCCACCCUGGAACUGGGACACGGUCCAGACUCCUACGGGAGGCAGCAGUGGGGAAUAUUGGACAAUGGGCGCAAGCCUGAUCCAGCCAUACCGCGUGGGUGAAGAAGGCCUUCGGGUUGUAAAGCCCUUUUGUUGGGAAAGAAAAGCAGCAGGUUAAUACCCCGCUGUUCUGACGGUACCCAAAGAAUAAGCACCGGCUAACUUCGUG
RNAcentral lists this ribosomal RNA (492 nucleotides) under uncultured bacterium. RNAcentral describes it as "partial 16S ribosomal RNA". It matches the Rfam family "Bacterial small subunit ribosomal RNA", at positions 29 to 507 of the family's 1533-position model. The record is from RNAcentral.